This 450-nucleotide ribosomal RNA is filed under the name uncultured Acidovorax sp. Its description in RNAcentral is "bacterial SSU rRNA". It matches the Rfam family "Bacterial small subunit ribosomal RNA", at positions 930 to 1382 of the family's 1533-position model. Lineage: Bacteria; Pseudomonadati; Pseudomonadota; Betaproteobacteria; Burkholderiales; Comamonadaceae. The record is from RNAcentral.
CGGUGGAUGAUGUGGUUUAAUCGAUGCAACGACGAAAACCUUACCACCUUUGACAUGUACGGAAUCCUUUAGAGAUAGAGGAGUGCUCGAAAGAGAGCCGUAACACAGGUGCUGCAUGGCUGUCGUCAGCUCGUGUCGUGAGAUGUUGGGUUAAGUCCCGCAACGAGCGCAACCCUUGUCAUUAGUUGCUACAUUCAGUUGGGCACUCUAAUGAGACUGCCGGUGACAAACCGGAGGAAGGUGGGGAUGACGUCAAGUCCUCAUGGCCCUUAUAGGUGGGGCUACACACGUCAUACAAUGGAUGGUACAAAGGGUCGCCAACCCGCGAGGGGGAGCCAAUCCCAUAAAGCCAUUCGUAGUCCGGAUCGCAGUCUGCAACUCGACUGCGUGAAGUCGGAAUCGCUAGUAAUCGCGGAUCAGCAUGUCGCGGUGAAUACGUUCCCGGGUCUU